This 30-nucleotide non-coding RNA is filed under the name Rattus norvegicus (Norway rat). Lineage: Eukaryota; Metazoa; Chordata; Mammalia; Rodentia; Muridae. The record is from RNAcentral.
UAUAUUUAUGGUUGACUAUCGUUAGGAGGC